AGUUGGAUUACAAAAGUAUUUCGAAGUGUUUUGUGAAAGUUUAUCGUCGACUUUUUUAAUUUAAAAAAAUGACCUAGCGUUUUGAAACUGUCUUUUUUUCUGAAUCACACAGUUUCCAUAGAUGGAUAUUUUGGGUAUACAUGGACCGAUUUAAUCGAAAAAAAGACCCAAUAGUGAUGUUAUGGGACAUAUAGGAGUGCCAACAAAGAAGCUCGUCCAAGGUUUCCUGUCCUGCCAAUGACCCACUGCCAUUCAAAACACCAGGACAUAUCCACGUCUCCAGUUGACUAGAGAGAGGGAGAGAGAGAGAGAGAGAGAGAGAAUGUAAAUAAUGGGCAGGU
Oncorhynchus tshawytscha (Chinook salmon) is the source of this 341-nucleotide long non-coding RNA. NCBI's taxonomy places the organism in Eukaryota, Metazoa, Chordata, Actinopteri, Salmoniformes, Salmonidae. The record is from Ensembl.